Long non-coding RNA from Lycium ferocissimum, 1057 nucleotides. RefSeq lists it as uncharacterized. Lineage: Eukaryota; Viridiplantae; Streptophyta; Magnoliopsida; Solanales; Solanaceae. The record is from RefSeq and is a predicted model, not a curated record. The transcript is spliced from 2 exons.
AUAAUUAUAGUUAAUAAUUUAUCUAUACAAUAAAAGCCACUAUAUUAAAAGCCAACAAAGAAGUAAAUUCCUAAUUUUUCCCAUUUAUGUGAUAAGGUUUGAAAUCCAUCCCUUUCAUCAUUUUUUUAAAAUAGAAAUCCCCUUAGUUGCCUCAUUAUUUUAAACAGUUUCCUCAUUAAUUCAUAAGUAAUUACAAAUUAAACAUCUUUUGUAACCUCCAGACCCAAACACAAAAUUAUAUUAACUCUUAUUAGUUACACCUUGCCCGCUUCACAGAACAGUUAGGAUCCCAUUCUCCAUUUUUGUUAAAAGUUUUCAGCUUUCUGAAAUUGUGGUUCAAUGUUAUCGGCUCUUUCUUUUGUUCUUUUCCUACUUUCUUUAUUUUAGGUAUAUUUGUAUUUUUUGAUAUGUAUUUGGGGACCUUUUCCAAUGUAAAUUUUAUAUGUAUUUGAGACCUUUUCCAACUAUAAAUACUUAACAUGAGAAUUCUAAUUAUCACUCUUUCCUGUUUUUUUUACCUAUCUUAAUUGAAAAUGUUGUGCUUUAAUUUUUGUUUGAGGUUUUUCUUGUUUGAAUUACUGAAAAGUGAAAAUCAAAGAUUGAUCGGUGUGUAAAUUUGCUGGAUUUGGAUUAUUUUUGUUUGAAUUUGAAGAUAUUGGUAAAUUAUAUACCAACACUCUGUACAAACAUUGGGCCAAUGAUUAUUCGCAAGAUAGAUGGAGUUGCUCUUCAAGUUUCGAUCACCCAUUUCUAUGAAUUCUCGGUGUUGCAAAGGUUAUAGCAUGACCCUCCUUAGAAGCUCUCGAAAUGUAUGUAAAACUUGAUGAUGGAUGCUAAUGAAUUAUGUUUUUGUGCUAAUAGCUUUCAAUAUAUAAUACAGAGAGGAGGAUGGAGGAGAUGAAGGUAGCAAAUUCUACCACCUCACAUUUUUUUUUUUUUUUUGUUUAAGUUACCGCCAAAUAUCUUUCAAAGGACAAUGAAAGAGCAACAAUGGAAUUGGGUUUCAAUUCUGUAUAAUUUUGAGUUGAGAAACGAAGAGCUUGAUAGUUUGAUGUGC